UAGAUCACCGAAGUUAAGCAACGUUGAGCUUGGUCAGUACCUAGAUGGGUAACCACUUGGGAAUACCAGGUGAUGCAA
Molecule: non-coding RNA, 78 nt
Organism: Acanthosepion pharaonis
Lineage: Eukaryota; Metazoa; Mollusca; Cephalopoda; Sepiida; Sepiidae
Source: the annotation of a GenBank genome assembly